Molecule: non-coding RNA, 74 nt
Organism: Perkinsus marinus ATCC 50983
Lineage: Eukaryota; Perkinsozoa; Perkinsida; Perkinsidae
Source: the annotation of a RefSeq genome assembly
GCUGGAGUGUUCUAGUUGGUUACAACGAUCGCCUCACACGCGAUAAAUCCCGAGUUCGACUCUCGAUUCCAGUA